Molecule: long non-coding RNA, 203 nt
Filed under: Elaeis guineensis (African oil palm)
Lineage: Eukaryota; Viridiplantae; Streptophyta; Magnoliopsida; Arecales; Arecaceae
Description: long non-coding RNA (EGUI_LNC070235)
Source: RNAcentral
ACCCUAUCUUGUGUCUAUUAUAUCUCCACACCCCAACCUUCUUUCUCUUUGAUUUUUGGAUGUCCCAAAGGUCUCUCUUUGAUCUAUGUUCCAUAAAACUUUAAUAAAAAAAAUUAUUUUAUAUAGAGAGAUAUGAUAGUGUCCUUAUCUAGGUCAAAUACCGAGUCAAGGUUUAUCCAAACAUAGCAAGAUAAAGGGCGCCC